This 907-nucleotide long non-coding RNA is filed under the name Homo sapiens (human). RNAcentral describes it as "HSALNT0370236". The record is from RNAcentral. Lineage: Eukaryota; Metazoa; Chordata; Mammalia; Primates; Hominidae.
CCUGAGUGGUAAAUGUGUGACUCAAUCAGUAUGAAUCGAACUGACUCUAAAAGCCUCCUGACCUUGCCUCUGGCCUUGCAGGAGACACGGCAACCACAAGGUUAAAAUCAGAAGCAAACAGGGGGCCAGUGUUUCUCCACAUGAGCACCUCAGGAUUCUCUCUCUUCUGGAGAUUGUCAACUGAGAGAAGAUUCCUGGGUGCCUUUCUCACGGGCCAAAGGAUGGCUUUGGAGACAACGUGAGUGGGGCAAACGCAGGAUGGGGUGGAAAGUGAGGGGGUGGUGCCAUCAGCCUCACACUCACGGUCACUCGUCUCCGCCGCACUGGUGCCACUACAGUCAACUCCCCAUCCUCAAAGUAGAGCCUCUCUUAAGACAAAUAUUCAGCCAACCAUUAAAUAGGAGGAUAGAAACCCAAUAAGUAAAGGAGACCUCAUAAAGCACUGGCAACGUUUCCCCAUGCCCAGAUGUUAAGGUGCUGGGAUCAUCUAGGAGAGGUGCACCUGAGGAGCCAGCAGAGCGGGGGCCUUACUACAGGCAGCAAGGAGUGCCGGGAAUCCUGGGUGACAGGCAAGCUAUCCCAACCCCAGUGGUAGCUGCUUCUAGGAGAACUGCACCCAGCUGGCUUUCAUUCGGAUUAGAAAAAAAGGGCCACACAGGCUCUUCCCCAAGAGAGGCUUGGGACCCAGGCCUCAUUUCCUGAACAUAUGGCCUAACUUGAGGCCAAUGCAUGUCCAGCUGAAGAUGACCCAGCUCAACUGGAAGCUGUCCAAGUGCUGAAUCCCACAAAGUAGCCAGGGAGAUUGUGCAUUUAUGUUUCUUUCUACGACGAUGCUUCAGUGUCUCCUGCGUGCCCUCUCAGCAGAACGCCACAGCUAGCUUAGGUUUCAGCCCUCAGGGAGGGACUC